This 490-nucleotide ribosomal RNA is filed under the name uncultured bacterium. RNAcentral describes it as "partial 16S ribosomal RNA". It matches the Rfam family "Bacterial small subunit ribosomal RNA", at positions 30 to 507 of the family's 1533-position model. The record is from RNAcentral.
AUUGAACGCUGGCGGCAGGCCUAACACAUGCAAGUCGAACGGUAACAGGAAGAAGCUUGCUUCUUUGCUGACGAGUGGCGGACGGGUGAGUCAUGUCUGGGAAACUGCCUGAUGGAGGGGGAUAACUACUGGAAACGGUAGCUAAUACCGCAUAACGUCGCAAGACCAAAGAGGGGGACCUUCGGGCCUCUUGCCAUCGGAUGUGCCCAGAUGGGAUUAGCUAGUAGGUGGGGUAACGGCUCACCUAGGCGACGAUCCCUAGCUGGUCUGAGAGGAUGACCAGACACACUGGAACUGAGACACGGUCCAGACUCCUACGGGAGGCAGCAGUGGGGAAUAUUGCACAAUGGGCGCAAGCCUGAUGCAGCCAUGCCGCGUGUAUGAAGAAGGCCUUCGGGUUGUAAAGUACUUUCGGCGGGGAGGAAGGGAGUAAAGUUAAUACCUUUGCUCAUUGACGGUACCCGCAGAAGAAGCACCGGCUAACUCCGUG